UUAAAAUUUCAAGGGAUUGUCGUGGUCCCCCCCAAGGCAGUGGAGCGCUUGGGUUUAUUGAUGGUAAGGGAAGAACCUUACCAGGGCUGAAACUAUAGCUGCAUCUUUGGGUAAAAGCCAGAGAGCCUUCGAGGGUGCUAUAGAGGUGCUGCAUGGCUGUCGUCAGCUCGUGUCGUGAGAUGUAGGGUUAAGUCCCGCAACGAGCGCAACCCCUAUUCGCUGUUAAAAUUUCUGCGAAAACUGCCUCGCCAAAACGAGGAGGAAGGUGGGGAUGACGUCUAGUCCUCAUAGCCCUUAUGUCCUGGGCUACACAAGCGCUACAAUGGGUGGUACAAAGGGUUGCCAAACCGCAAGGUGGAGCUAAUCCCAAAAAACCAUCCUCAGUUCAGAUUGUCGGCUGCAAUUCGCCGGCAUGAAGUCGGAAUUGCUAGUAAUCGCGGAUCAGCAUGCCGCGGUGAAUACGUUCUCGGGUUUUGUACACACCGCCUGUCAAGCUACGGAAAUCGGUUCCGCCCGACGGUCCCUCAUAAGAGGGAACUAAGGCAGGGCUGGUAACUAGAGCUAAGUCGUAACAAGGUAUCCGUAA
Molecule: ribosomal RNA, 586 nt
Filed under: uncultured bacterium
Lineage: Bacteria
Description: bacterial SSU rRNA
Rfam family: Bacterial small subunit ribosomal RNA
Source: RNAcentral